UGAACGUAAGUAUGAAAGAACUACACAGCACUGAUGUUCUAUGAAAGAUCAUUACAUGAAAUCACCAUGUUUACUGCCUGUUGA
RNAcentral lists this small RNA (84 nucleotides) under Salix viminalis (osier). Lineage: Eukaryota; Viridiplantae; Streptophyta; Magnoliopsida; Malpighiales; Salicaceae. The record is from RNAcentral.